This 247-nucleotide ribosomal RNA is filed under the name uncultured bacterium. Its description in RNAcentral is "partial 16S ribosomal RNA". It matches the Rfam family "Bacterial small subunit ribosomal RNA", at positions 86 to 334 of the family's 1533-position model. The record is from RNAcentral.
UGUCGGCGAGUGGCGAACGGGUGAGUAAUGCAUCGGAACGUACCGAGUAAUGGGGGAUAACUAUGCGAAAGUGUAGCUAAUACCGCAUACGCUCUUAGGAGGAAAGCGGGGGACUGUUAAAGGCCUCGCGUUAUUCGAUCGGCCGAUGUCGGAUUAGCUAGUUGGUGAGGUAAAGGCUUACCAAGGCGAUGAUCCGUAGCGGGUCUGAGAGGACGAUCCGCCACACUGGGACUGAGACACGGCCCAG